AGAGUUUGAUCAUGGCUCAGGACGAACGCUGGCGGCGUGCUUAACACAUGCAAGUCGAGCGGAAAGGCCCCUUCGGGGGUACUCGAGCGGCGAACGGGUGAGUAACACGUGGGUAACCAACCUCUCGCACCGGAAUACCCCGGGGAAACUCGGAUCAAUGCCGGAUAAUGUGCGGCGCUGCAGGGCGCCGUACCAAAGGUAGCUUCGGCCUCUGGCGAGAGACGGGCCCGCGGCCCAUUAGCUUGUUGGCGGGGUAACGGCCCACCAAGGCGACGAUGGGUAGCUGGUCUGAGAGGAUGAUCAGCCACACUGGGACUGAGACACGGCCCAGACUCCUACGGGAGGCAGCAGUGGGGAAUCUUGCGCAAUGGGCGGAAGCCUGACGCAGCAACGCCGCGUGCGGGAGGAAGGCCUUCGGGUCGUAAACCGCUUUCAGGAGGGACGAAGCCACCUGGGUUAAUAGCCCGUGGGGUGACGGUACCUCCAGAAGAAGCCCCGGCUAACUACGUGCCAGCAGCGGCGGUAAUAC
Molecule: ribosomal RNA, 529 nt
Filed under: uncultured bacterium
Lineage: Bacteria
Description: bacterial SSU rRNA
Rfam family: Bacterial small subunit ribosomal RNA
Source: RNAcentral